Molecule: ribosomal RNA, 442 nt
Filed under: uncultured bacterium
Lineage: Bacteria
Description: partial 16S ribosomal RNA
Rfam family: Bacterial small subunit ribosomal RNA
Source: RNAcentral
CCUACGGGAGGCAGCAGUGGGGAAUAUUGGGCAAUGGGCGCAAGCCUGACCCAGCAACGCCGCGUGAAGGAAGAAGGCUUUCGGGUUGUAAACUUCUUGUAAGAGGGAAGAGCAGAAGACGGUACCUCUUGAAUAAGCCACGGCUAACUACGUGCCAGCAGACGGGGUAAUACUUAGGUGGCAAGCGUUGUCCGGAUUUACUGGGUGAAAAGGGCGUGUAGGCGGGACUGCAAGUCAGAUGUGAAAACCACGGGCUCAACAUGUGGCCUGCAUUUGAAACUGUAGUUCUUGAGUACUGGAGAGGCAGACGGAAUUCCUGGUGUAGCGGUGAAAUGCGUAGAUAUUAGGAGGAACACCAGUGGCGAAGGCGGUCUGCUGGACAGCAACUGACGCUGAGGCGCGAAAGCGUGGGGAGCAAACAGGAUUAGAUACCCGUGUAGUC